This 497-nucleotide ribosomal RNA is filed under the name uncultured bacterium. RNAcentral's name for it is "partial 16S ribosomal RNA". It matches the Rfam family "Bacterial small subunit ribosomal RNA", at positions 28 to 507 of the family's 1533-position model. The record is from RNAcentral.
GAUGAACGCUGGCGGCGUGCCUAAUACAUGCCAGUCUAGCGAACGGACGAGAAGCUUGCUUCUCUGAUGUUAGCGGCGGACGGGUGAGUAACACGUGGAUAACCUACCUAUAAGACUGGGAUAACUUCGGGAAACCGGAGCUAAUACCGGAUAAUAUUUUGAACCGCAUGGUUCAAAAGUGAAAGACGGUCUUGCUGUCACUUAUAGAUGGAUCCGCGCUGCAUUAGCUAGUUGGUAAGGUAACGGCUUACCAAGGCAACGAUGCAUAGCCGACCUGAGAGGGUGAUCGGCCACACUGGAACUGAGACACGGUCCAGACUCCUACGGGAGGCAGCAGUAGGGAAUCUUCCGCAAUGGGCGAAAGCCUGACGGAGCAACGCCGCGUGAGUGAUGAAGGUCUUCGGAUCGUAAAACUCUGUUAUUAGGGAAGAACAUAUGUGUAAGUAACUGUGCACAUCUUGACGGCACCUAAUCAGAAAGCCACGGCUAACUACGUG